RNAcentral lists this ribosomal RNA (558 nucleotides) under uncultured Glomus. RNAcentral's name for it is "SSU rRNA". It matches the Rfam family "Eukaryotic small subunit ribosomal RNA", at positions 546 to 1106 of the family's 1831-position model. Lineage: Eukaryota; Fungi; Glomeromycota; Glomeromycetes; Glomerales; Glomeraceae. The record is from RNAcentral.
AAUUGGAGGGCAAGUCUGGUGCCAGCAGCCGCGGUAAUUCCAGCUCCAAUAGCGUAUAUUAAAGUUGUUGCAGUUAAAAAGCUCGUAGUUGAAUUUCGGGACCAAUUUGUUGGUCGUGCCUCGGUACGUACUGGUAUUAUUGGUUUCUCCCUUCUGAAGAACCUUGAUGUCAUUAAUUUGGUGUCUUGGGGAAUCAGGACUGUUACUUUGAAAAAAUUAGAGUGUUUAAAGCAGGCAUACGCUUGAAUACAUUAGCAUGGAAUAAUGAAAUAGGACGUUUGAUUCUAUUUUGUUGGUUUCUAGGAUUGACGUAAUGAUUAAUAGGGAUAGUUGGGGGCAUUAGUAUUCAAUUGUCAGAGGUGAAAUUCUUGGAUUUAUUGAAGACUAACUACUGCGAAAGCAUUUGCCAAGGAUGUUUUCAUUAAUCAAGAACGAAAGUUAGGGGAUCGAAGACGAUCAGAUACCGUCGUAGUCUUAACCAUAAACUAUGCCGACUAGGGAUCGGAUGAUGUUAAUUUUUUAAUGACUCAUUCGGCGCCUUACGGGAAACCAAAGUGU